UGGGGAAUAUUGGACAAUGGGCGCAAGCCUGAUCCAGCAAUGCCGCGUGUGUGAAGAAGGCCUUCGGGUUGUAAAGCACUUUUAUCAGGAGCGAAAUACCACGGGUUAAUACCCUAUGGGGCUGACGGUACCUGAGGAAUAAGCACCGGCUAACUUCGUGCCAGCAGCCGCGGUAAUACGAAGGGUGCAAGCGUUAAUCGGAAUUACUGGGCGUAAAGCGUGCGUAGGUGGUGAUUUAAGUCUGCUGUGAAAUCCCCGGGCUCAACCUGGGAAUGGCAGUGGAUACUGGAUCGCUAGAGUGUGAUAGAGGAUGGUGGAAUUCCCGGUGUAGCGGUGAAAUGCGUAGAGAUCGGGAGGAACAUCAGUGGCGAAGGCGGCCAUCUGGAUCAACACUGACACUGAGGCACGAAAGCGUGGGGAGCAAACAGG
This 429-nucleotide ribosomal RNA is filed under the name bacterium. RNAcentral describes it as "partial 16S ribosomal RNA". It matches the Rfam family "Bacterial small subunit ribosomal RNA", at positions 355 to 776 of the family's 1533-position model. The record is from RNAcentral. RNAcentral also lists the same sequence under 1 other name.